Oncorhynchus keta (chum salmon) is the source of this 1236-nucleotide long non-coding RNA. RefSeq lists it as uncharacterized. The record is from RefSeq and is a predicted model, not a curated record. The transcript has 3 exons. NCBI's taxonomy places the organism in Eukaryota, Metazoa, Chordata, Actinopteri, Salmoniformes, Salmonidae.
AGCAAGGCUAUGCUCACUGUGCACAGUCAAAGCUUUCCUUCAUUUUGGGUCAGUCACAGUGGUCAGGUAUUCUGCCACUGUGUGCUCUCUGUUUAGGGUCAGUCACAGUGGUCAGGUAUUCUGCCACUGUGUGCUCUCUGUUUAGGGUCAGUCACAGUGGUCAGGUAUUCUGCCACUGUGUGCUCUCUGUUUAGGGUCAGUCACAGUGGUCAGGUAUUCUGCCACUGUGUGCUCUCUGUUUAGGGUCAGUCACAGUGGUCAGGUAUUCUGCCACUGUGUGCUCUCUGUUUAGGGUCAGUCACAGUGGUCAGGUAUUCUGCCACUGUGUGCUCUCUGUUUAGGGUCAGUCACAGUGGUCAGGUAUUCUGCCACUGUGUGCUCUCUGUUUAGGGUCAGUCACAGUGGUCAGGUAUUCUGCCACUGUGUGCUCUCUGUUUAGGGUCAGUCACAGUGGUCAGGUAUUCUGCCACUGUGUGCUCUCUGUUUAGGGUCAGUCACAGUGGUCAGGUAUUCUGCCACUGUGUGCUCUCUGUUUAGGGUCAGUCACAGUGGUCAGGUAUUCUGCCACUGUGUGCUCUCUGUUUAGGGUCAGUCACAGUGGUCAGGUAUUCUGCCACUGUGUGCUCUCUGUUUAGGGACAAAUCGCAGUCUAGUUUGCUCUGUUUUAUUUGUUGAUUCUUUCCAAUGUUUCUAAUAAUUGUUUUUUUGUUUUCUCAUGAUUUGGUUGGUUCUAAUUGUGUUGCUGUCCUGGGGCUCUGUGGGGUAUGUUUGUGUUUGUGAACAGCUGGCUGAAGGGACUUUUUCCCAGGUUCUUUCUGUAAGUGAGGGCUUUGUUAUAGAAGGUUAGAGAAUCACUUAUUUUUAGGUGUUUGUAGAAUUUAACAGCUCUUUUCUGGAUUUUGAUAAUUAGCGGGAAUCGUCCUUAUUCUUUUCUACAUGCUUAUCUAUCACUCUCUCUGGUUUCUCUCUGUCUCUCCUUCUCUUUCUCUCUGUCUCUGUCUGGUUUCUCUCUGUCUCUCUCUCUCUCUGUCUCUCUGGUUUCUCUCUGUCUGGUUUCUCUCUUUCUCUCUCUCUCUGUCUGGUUUCUCUCUCUCUCUCUCUGUCUGGUUUCUCUGUCUCUCUCUCUCUCUGUCUGGUUUCUCUCUCUCUCUCUGUCUGGUUUCUCUGUCUCUCUCUCUCUCUGGUUUCUCUCUGUCUCUCUCCUCAUUUGAUCAGCCAAUUUGAGAUGCAGAGCCA